GCUGGUGUAGCUCAGUUGGAAGAGCAGUUGUUUCGUAAACAACAGGUCGACAGUUCAAUCCUGCCCAUCAGCUCCA
RNAcentral lists this transfer RNA (76 nucleotides) under Veillonella sp. RNAcentral's name for it is "tRNA-Thr". It matches the Rfam family "tRNA". Rfam says of the family: Transfer RNA (tRNA) molecules are approximately 80 nucleotides in length. RNAcentral also lists the same sequence under 2 other names. Lineage: Bacteria; Bacillati; Bacillota; Negativicutes; Veillonellales; Veillonellaceae. The record is from RNAcentral.